This 253-nucleotide long non-coding RNA is filed under the name Sorghum bicolor (sorghum). RNAcentral describes it as "long non-coding RNA (SBIC_LNC008832)". The record is from RNAcentral. Lineage: Eukaryota; Viridiplantae; Streptophyta; Magnoliopsida; Poales; Poaceae.
UAGGGUCUUACCUGCAGUAAGUUCUUAGUUUCACUUCACACCACAUUAUGUUUUACAUUCUCUUGCACAGUAAGAUAAUAGAUUCACCUUUGCAGAAAGCAUGCUCACUAUCUAUCCUCACUUGGUGUUCGAAACCAACGAGCUAUCAACCGAAUGCAACAUGAAUGCUUCCAUGAGUGGUUUAGUUUGCAUGUAAGUAGGAAGCUGAACUUAUGGCAUGCUAUCUAAGUUGAACUUCUCAUUACCUUAAUAA